GGGGAAGUGGCUCAGUUGGGAGAGCGUUGCCUUCGCACGGCAAAGGUCGGGAGUUCGAAUCUCCUCUUCUCCACCA
RNAcentral lists this transfer RNA (76 nucleotides) under Desulfovibrio sp. RNAcentral's name for it is "tRNA-Ala". It matches the Rfam family "tRNA". From Rfam's summary of the family: Transfer RNA (tRNA) molecules are approximately 80 nucleotides in length. Their secondary structure includes four short double-helical elements and three loops (D, anti-codon, and T loops). Lineage: Bacteria; Pseudomonadati; Thermodesulfobacteriota; Desulfovibrionia; Desulfovibrionales; Desulfovibrionaceae. The record is from RNAcentral.